UCCCGGGCAGCGCUUGGUCUGACCCUCUGUCUCUCCUCUAUGAACCUGCCUUCUAUUAGGUUUUUCGAUGUUCUUUGGGAAUAAACAUGGCCGAACAUGAACUCAGACGAAAGAGGAAAAAAAGAGCGUCGCUUUAUUCUUGAGAUCUUCUCGUUAAACUUGCAUCAGAUGGUGUUCUGGUUGCGUUCUGUAGUGAGGUUUUUUGAAUCGAGGGGCUCAAAAAAAUUGAAGAAACAUGAGAGCCCAUAAUUUUUUCAGUCACAUCGAGUGACCAUUCUUUGCCUGAACAUAUCUUUCUUGGUGGUUUUCUUCCUCUCCGUCAGGAAUCAAGGUGCUUGUGGCAGACAUGCUCAGCAUCCCCUUCGACGAUGAUUGCUUCGAUAUAGUGAUCGAGAAAGGAACAAUGGUGAGCUAGAUCUUCUCUGGAAGCUCGCAGCCGCGGUCGAUCAUCCGACCCAUAACUUCUCGGCGACGAUUUCAGACAUCGUUAUGAUAUUCAUUCCACUUACCUUUGGAUGUCAAGGAUGUGCUGUUCGUGGACAGCGGCGACCCGUGGAAUCCACGGCAGGAAACGGUGGACAAGGUGAAGGCCAUGCUGGAGGGUGUCCACAGAGUCCUCAAGCCAAGUGGGACCUUCAUCUCUAUUUCCUUUGGGCAGGUACCCAUGAAUUCCUGGCAAAAAUUCUCUUCCUGCUGAGGGCAUAAAUCAUGGUCUCGUUCCUCCCACAGCCGCAUUUCAGGCGCCGCUUCUUUGAAGACCCGGAGCUGACCUGGUCCUUUGAGUAUGAGACUUUCGGGGAGGAAUUCCAUUACUUCUUCUACGUCCUGAAGAAGGUUUGCGUCGAUGAUGUUCCACGGGUUUCACCAGCUUCCCGGACACUUGACAAAAAAGAAAAAAAUCUUUACCUCGGUCGCUCUUCUUCUCGUCAGAGUUCCGUGGCUUGAUGUGCUAAUUCAGAGCUGCUCGUGCUUCGUGGGUUCGAUUUCAGGGUCAGAGGGCGUCAGACGAAGCUAACCGGGACAGCGGCGAGAAGUUCCUUCAGCCGCCCAUUCAGU
RNAcentral lists this long non-coding RNA (1056 nucleotides) under Spirodela polyrhiza (greater duckweed). RNAcentral's name for it is "long non-coding RNA (SPOL_LNC001335)". The record is from RNAcentral. Lineage: Eukaryota; Viridiplantae; Streptophyta; Magnoliopsida; Alismatales; Araceae.